AAUGAAGAGUUUGGUUGUAGCUGGCCCAUUUAUUUGGGCAUGUGCACACCUUCCUCUUUCAUCCCACACCACACCUGUGAACCUGUGAGACAGAUAGGGAAUUUACUUGUUGCUUUUUGGAAUACAAAGGCAAUAGGUCAUUGGACCCUCUGUCUACUCAAUUAAUAUAAACUCAAUUUAUUUUAAAACGAAUGUAAUGGAUGUAACACAUCUCAUACUAAGUUUCAACAACGGAUCUCUUGGCUCUCGCAUCGAUGAAGAACGCAGCGAAAUGCGAUAAGUAAUGUGAAUUGCAGAAUUCAGUGAAUCAUCGAAUCUUUGAACGCACCUUGCGCUCCUUGGUAUUCCUUGGAGCAUGCCUGUUUGAGUAUCAUGAAUUCUUCAAAGUAAAUCUUUUGUUAACUCAAUUGGUUUCACUUUGGUAUUGGAGGUCUUUUGCAGCUUCACACCUGCUCCUCUUUGUUCAUUAGCUGGAUCUCAGUGUUAUGCUUGGUUCCACUCGGCGUGAUAAAUUAUCUAUCGCUGAGGACACUGUAAAAAGGUGGCCAAGGUAAAUGCAAAUGAACCCCUUCCAAAAAUCCCAUUGACUUGAACAAUACCUUUAUGAUCUGAAUCUCAAAUCAGGUAGGACUACCC
RNAcentral lists this ribosomal RNA (636 nucleotides) under Rhizoctonia solani. RNAcentral's name for it is "eukaryotic LSU rRNA". The stretch from base 220 to 373 matches the Rfam family "5.8S ribosomal RNA". Lineage: Eukaryota; Fungi; Basidiomycota; Agaricomycetes; Cantharellales; Ceratobasidiaceae. The record is from RNAcentral.